CUGAACGCCUCUAAGUCAGAAUCCCGCCCAGGCGGAACGAUACGGCAGCGCCGCGGGAGCCUCGGUUGGCCUCGGAUAGCCGGUCCCCCGCCGUCCCCGCCGGCGGGCCGCCGCGCGCGCCCGCGUGCGGCGUGUCCCGUCGCGCGUCGGGACCGGGGUCCGGUGCGGAGAGCCCUUCGUCCUGGGAAACGGGGCGCGGCCGGAAAGCGCGGCCGCCCCCUCGCCCGUCACGCACCGCACGUUCGUGGGGAACCUGGUGCUAAACCAUUCGUAGACGACCUGCUUCUGGGUCGGGGUUUCGUACGUAGCAGAGCAGCUCCCUCGCUGCGAUCUAUUGAAAGUCAGCCCUCGACACAAGGGUUUGUCGCUCCCGGCGCCGACGCCGCCACCGUGGCGGCGGCGGUGGUCGGGGGGGGGGCCGCGGCCGGCUCGCUCGGCUUCCGUGCGUCCGUCUCGCUCUUCCUCUCUCUUCCCGUCCCAUCCCUCCGCGCCGCGGGUCGCGCCCCCCUGCCCGUCCCCGGCGAAGGGGAGCGGGGGUUGGCGGUUCUCGCACGCCGCGUCCCGCGGACGCCCACGGCGCGCCGGGCGGUCGCGGGGCAGGUUGCGCGUCCCGCUGCGGCCUGUCGGGGCGAGAGGGAAAGAAGGGGAAAGCGGGCGCGCCCCUCCAGGCGCCGCCCCCCGCGCCUCCGCUACGCGCCUCGCCUCCUCCUCCGCUUCACCCCGCCGGCGGGCCUUCCCAGGGCCCGCUGGGCUGGGACGGGGCGAAGGGGAGUGGUGGGGGGAGGUCGCAUCCCGGAGGCGUGGAGGGGGGAACGUUGGAGGGCCGGCCCUGCGGGAGCCUCUUCCCAGGGGGAAACCGCGGGCCGGGGGCGUCGUGGGGCCCUGGGUGGCCUCCGAACACGUCCGCGAGCGGGUGCUCCGGGCCGCCACCGGCGUGGGGUGGUGGUCUGUGGGUGCGUGCUCCAGCGUGGCCCUCGCGUGCCUCACUUCCUAAGGGCCCGCGGGGUCGACCAGCUGUCCCGGCCGACUCGGGCCCGGGUCCGAGGGCCCGCGGGGUCGACCAGCUGUCCCGGCCGACUCGGGCCCGGGUCCGAGGGCCCGCGGGGUCGACCAGCUGUCCCGGCCGACUCGGGCCCGGGUCCGAGGGCCCGCGGGGUCGACCAGCUGUCCCGGCCGACUCGGGCC
RNAcentral lists this long non-coding RNA (1185 nucleotides) under Sus scrofa (pig). Its description in RNAcentral is "lncRNA (ENSSSCG00070022937.1)". The stretch from base 261 to 363 matches the Rfam family "Eukaryotic large subunit ribosomal RNA", at positions 3297 to 3399 of the family's 3401-position model. Lineage: Eukaryota; Metazoa; Chordata; Mammalia; Artiodactyla; Suidae. The record is from RNAcentral.